AAAGAUUUAACAAAUACGGUAGGAGACAAAGUUAAUAUAAAAGUCAAUAUUUAGCUCCUUGACAAGUUUCAUUUUGAUGUAUGUUCCUUACCAUUUUAGAAAAUCUUUCACCUCUUUCGACAAAAAGAGGAAUCUGACCUAGAAUUGAGGAGAUGGACCUCAAGAGGCUUUGUAUACAAUUUUAAAGAUGAAUUAAUUAUG
Molecule: long non-coding RNA, 201 nt
Filed under: Elaeis guineensis (African oil palm)
Lineage: Eukaryota; Viridiplantae; Streptophyta; Magnoliopsida; Arecales; Arecaceae
Description: long non-coding RNA (EGUI_LNC022852)
Source: RNAcentral